This 1411-nucleotide long non-coding RNA is filed under the name Brachypodium distachyon (stiff brome). RNAcentral's name for it is "long non-coding RNA (BDIS_LNC004601)". The record is from RNAcentral. Lineage: Eukaryota; Viridiplantae; Streptophyta; Magnoliopsida; Poales; Poaceae.
AGUGGUGGUUUGUAGGGCUUUGGUGGCGGGUAUUUUACCCGCCAUUGGUGAUCUCAGUGCAGCAGUGGCGGGUAUUUUACCCGCCACAGGUGCUAAAACCUCCAGUGACGCAGAGUUGGUGGCGGGCGUGAUCACCGCCACCAACCCCAUUUUUUGACUGCCACUGGAGGGGUUUUCUGUAGUAGUGAACCGAAGCAACUAAUUUCUCCUAGCCCUGUGCCACUCGUACUAAUCCUUAUCGCUCCAUGCAUGAGAAUAGUCCGAAGCCGUACAUCCUCAACUAGCUAGCAAACUCCUUGCAUGCAACAACUAACUCUAACCAUGUCCUCUUCUUUGGUUCUUCCUCCUAAAACCACUCUAGGAACAACAUGUCCAGGCCACAUGUGCACAUGCAGCUAGCAUUUGAUGGACUUGUUUACCAGUUGGGCGCAGCAGGCCGCAUCGCACAUCACUACGGUAUCUCGCUUUAUAAUAAUGCUCAGUUUGGCAUUGUUGAACUGUGUUGUGCUGAACUUAUUUUAUCAGAUUUGCUAGGGAUCAGUCAACUGAGAAACUGUUUUUCUCAGUCGAUGUGAAAACGUACGGAGGAUAAAUAACAUAAUAACUGAAUGUUGACAGAAAGGAUUAGUUCGUGUGGUGGUUUGUGGGUGCUAGCCCCUGCAGGAGGGUGCAAGUUUGAGUCUUGUGCGCUCAUUUUUUUUGUUUCUUUUUUCUACUUUUGGUUUCUAAUCAUAAAUUUGUUUCGUUUUUGUUUGCAAUUUAUAUAUCUCUUGACUUUCUUUGUUUUCAAGUUUAUAUAUGUGCACUAACUUAAAAUAGUAGUAUAGGAUAAUCUGUACAUUUAUUUUAUUUUCUCGCGUCCGAUGUUACUUGGACAAUUUAAAAUUCCGUGCAAAUUUUGAGAUUGCACAUAAAAUUUCAGUGCAAAUUUUGAAAUUUUCACCCGCAUUUAAAAUUAAAAUUGCACAUAAAAUUCCGUGCAAAUUUUGAAAUUGCACAUAAAAUUCCGUGCAAACAGGAUCCCGUGACUGGCCCCCUUUUACUUUAUUUCUCAAAUCUCAUAUUAAAUUUUUUCACAAAAUUUGAAUAGGAUAUUUGAGAAUUGAACUAGAAGGGGCCUUUGGAGGGAUAGUGUUUGCAAUCCUAUUCCUAUGUAAUUGUCGCACCAGUGGCACCCGGGGUCCCACCGCUGCCUAACGCGUGGGUCGUUCCACGUGCUUCCAGCAAGGAUAGCACCCUGGGUAGCACCGCUCGAGUUGCCCGGGAAGUCACCGGCCCAGCGGGACUAGCCGGGCUGUGAGGGUUACCCCGGAAGGCAACAAGGGAAUCUUGGUCAGGACGCCCUCCGGGAAGGUCACUUGGCAGGAGGGUGUUCCCGGGCGCUGGGGCCUACGACAGGGCCAGUGCCCAG